GAUGAACGCUGGCGGCGUGCCUAAUACAUGCCAGUCAAGCGAACAGAUGAGGAGCUUGCUCCUCUGACGUUAGCGGCGGACGGGUGAGUAACACGUGGAUAACCUACCUAUAAGACUGGGAUAACUUCGGGAAACCGGAGCUAAUACCGGAUAAUAUAUUGAACCGCAUGGUUCAAUAGUGAAAGACGGUUUUGCUGUCACUUAUAGAUGGAUCCGCGCCGCAUUAGCUAGUUGGUAAGGUAACGGCUUACCAAGGCAACGAUGCGUAGCCGACCUGAGAGGGUGAUCGGCCACACUGGAACUGAGACACGGUCCAGACUCCUACGGGAGGCAGCAGUAGGGAAUCUUCCGCAAUGGGCGAAAGCCUGACGGAGCAACGCCGCGUGAGUGAUGAAGGUCUUCGGAUCGUAAAACUCUGUUAUUAGGGAAGAACAAAUGUGUAAGUAACUAUGCACGUCUUGACGGUACCUAAUCAGAAAGCCACGGCUAACUACGUG
Molecule: ribosomal RNA, 497 nt
Filed under: uncultured bacterium
Lineage: Bacteria
Description: partial 16S ribosomal RNA
Rfam family: Bacterial small subunit ribosomal RNA
Source: RNAcentral